UCGGUAGCUCAUUUGGUAGAGCAACAGCCUGUUCGCUGUGUGUAGCGGGUUCGAUUCCCGUCCGAA
RNAcentral lists this transfer RNA (66 nucleotides) under Vogesella aquatica. Its description in RNAcentral is "tRNA-OTHER". It matches the Rfam family "tRNA". From Rfam's summary of the family: Transfer RNA (tRNA) molecules are approximately 80 nucleotides in length. Their secondary structure includes four short double-helical elements and three loops (D, anti-codon, and T loops). Further hydrogen bonds mediate the characteristic L-shaped molecular structure. tRNAs have two regions of fundamental functional importance: the anti-codon, which is responsible for specific mRNA codon recognition, and the 3' end, to which the tRNAs corresponding amino acid is attached (by aminoacyl-tRNA synthetases). tRNAs cope with the degeneracy of the genetic code in two manners: having more than one tRNA (with a specific anti-codon) for a particular amino acid; and 'wobble' base-pairing, i.e. permitting non-standard base-pairing at the 3rd anti-codon position. The record is from RNAcentral. Lineage: Bacteria; Pseudomonadati; Pseudomonadota; Betaproteobacteria; Neisseriales; Chromobacteriaceae.